Molecule: ribosomal RNA, 116 nt
Filed under: Propithecus coquereli (Coquerel's sifaka)
Lineage: Eukaryota; Metazoa; Chordata; Mammalia; Primates; Indriidae
Source: RNAcentral
GUCUAUGGCCAUACCACCCCGACAUGCCCGAUCUCAUCUGAUCUUGGCAGCUAAAUAGGGCCAGGCCUGUUCAGCACUUGAAUGGGAGAAUUUCCUUCAUUCUUUUGCAGCAGGCA